CGGCCAAUUGAUUUCAUUGUUUUCUUUUCCUUUUUUUAAACCAACCAGGGACAUUUAAUUUAAAAAAAUACAAGCAAGUUAUCCAGGACCUAAUCUGCUAAGCAGUGUUCUCCCCAAGAGGAUGAAGCCCUGCUGGCUGGCUCUGACAUUCAAUUCAGACUGAAAACACAGUAACUCCUCUGGCCCUUGCUGGGAAAUGUCCUGCGCAGGCCAUGGGCAGCACUCCAGUGCAGCUGACCUCCCACAAGGCCCCCAAACACAUGAUCCCACCAAAGGCUUGAACAGGGGAACCUCACAAGCAGGCAGAGAGCACACCUGAGACACAAGGACAAAUUAAAGCCAGUGAAUAAAACUAAAGGUCACUUUAAAGGAGUAUAAAGCUACAGUGGACAUAACGUGGCAUAGGUGAUCUUGACACCACAGAACUGUGAAGCCUGCAAUCCUACAAUAUAGAGGGGUAUGAGGAAGACAUCUCAGGAUACUGAAGAGUGUUGCAGAGGACCCACAAAUAGUCCUGAGCAUGAGAUGGUGGACAACAAACCCAUUUUUGGUGUGGGUAAAAUCAUUAGCGACAUCUUUUUCUUUUUUUUUUUUUCAGCAGUUUGAAGAUGUGUCAUUCCAUUUAUUUUUUCAUAAUUUCUGUUAAAAAGACUGCAGCUGCCCUUACUGUUGUACCUUUGAAGGUGUUGCAGCAAGAGCGCUGGCCUGCCAUGAUCUGCUACAUUCUACCUGGAAAUACAAGUCAGAAGUCAGCCUGUCAUAUUUUUUCAAAAGGUGACUUGUCAAAAUGAGACUUCUUUCAUAAAAUCAGUCUGGUUGGGCAUGGUGGCUCACGCCUGUAAUCCUAGCACUUUGGGAGGCUGAAGUAGGUGGAUGGCUUGAGCCCAGGAGUUUGAGACCAGCCUGGGCAACAUGGCAAAAUCCCAUCUCUACAAAAAAUACAAAAAUUAGCCGGGCAUAGUGUCACACACCUGUGGUCCCAGCUACUCAGGAGACUGAGAUGGGAGGAUCACCUGAGCCCGGGAGGUUAAGGCUGCAGUGAGCCAGGAUUGGGCCACUGCACUACAGCAUGGGUGACAGAGUGAAAUGCUGUCUCAAAAAACAACAACAAAAAAUCUCUCAAUCUGUCCAAAUAGUUAGAUUGUCUUCAGUAAUCUUUCCAUCGCGAUCUUGCUUUGUUUCUACUACUACUCUGAUGCUACAUAAUUAAGGUCACCAAUCGUUGUCACUGUCUUUCCAAACCUGUUGUUCCUUACUUCCUCCGGCCAUUCUUCCUUGUCCCCCUCCCAUUCAUCAUCCAGACACACACACACACACACACACACACACACACACACACACACACAUACAUUUUAACAAUACCAAACUCCUUGUAGUUCCCCUAAAUGAAUCAUGUUGUUUCCCUUACCUGAAAUGCCCAAUCCCUUUUUUAUUUUCAUUGCUAACUCCUCUCAUCUUUCCAGAGUGUUCACGUCUACCAGGAGUGUUCUUGUCCCUCCCAUUCCUUUCUACUCUAGCUCCACUCACAGUUCUGUGUAAUCCCAUCUUGUGGACUAACCCGUGUUAAAAAGAUUUGUUUGCUGAUUUGAUUCUUCCCUCCACUACACCCCCCCAUAACACAAAAUGAGUCCCUUAAAAGCAGAAAUGUUGCCUCACUGGUCUCCAGCACCCAGUGGAGUAUUUGGUAUGAAUGUCGGUCGAACUGUACUCUCUCCAGUGUGCAUUUUGUUCCAGGAAGACUAGGUAAUAGCAGGAGCAUUAGAAGCCUCAUCUUCAGGGCUGUUUGACAUUGAUUUUUUAAAAAAUACAUUUCCUGAGGUCUCACUAGUGCCAGAAUAUGAAAAAAAUAAUCAUUCUUCUCUGACUAAAGUGGAAUCACCAGUGAUUUAUUCUCUCCUUAAUCAGUAAUACUAGCUAACAUUUAUAUAGCCCUCACUAGGUCCCAAGCACUUUGAACAUAUCAUCUUAUUUCAUGUCUAUAACCACCUUCAGGUAGGCACUGUUGUUACCCUCCAAUUUACAAAGGAGGAAACUGAAGUGCAGGGAGGUUAAGUAAGUGGCAAGCUAGAAUCUGGAUACAGGUUGUCUGGUUCCAGGGACCAGGCAGUUAGCCAUUAUGCUAUGCGGCAUGAUUUCUUGCUUUCCUUGCCCUUUUUUCUUAAAUGUUUAAUUACAUAAGUAGCAUAUCAAUACAUUUAAAUUGUCAAAAAUUCAGAAACAAAGCAAAAACUCACUACUAUUUGAUGGGUAUCUUUCAAGAUCUUUUUCUUUGUUUACAUACAUAUAUACAUUAUGUGUGUGUACAUAUACACAAAGAAAUAUGUAUUUUUAUGUAACUGGAUUAUGCCUUAUUUUUCUAUAGAUUUGUUUUCAUUUAACAAUUUGUCUUAAAGGUCUUUUCAUAUCGAUGCAUAUUGAUCUAUUUUAUUCUUUGAAUGUUGCAUAGUAUGGAUAUAUUCCAUAGAAUGGGUGUAAUAUAGUUUAGGUAACCAUUUUUCUUUUGCGAGUCAUUUAUGUUGUUUCUGAUUUCACUGUUACAAACCAGGCUGCACUGAGUAUCCUUGAACAUGUCUCUUCACAUUCAUGCAACUAUACGUCUAGGAAAGAUCCUCAGAAAUAAAAUUGUUGGGAUGAAGUUUGUGUUGACUUUUUUUUUUUUAAUGGUGACUCACAUCCUGCCUUCCAGGGAGGCUGUGGCUUUUAUUGUUUCAUCAUUCACAUAUUAAAAGGGUUGUGUACACUUGGUUGAAUUUAUGGCAGAGUAAAAAAUCAUAAUAAAAUAAAUAAAAGGGCUGUGGCUGGAGGUUUUCCAGGAAAUCAACUCUCUAUAAAAGCACUGCUCACACCCUAACAUGCCAAGGAAAGCAAAGGCCUUCUCUCUUCUCCACCUCAUCUUUAGGAAAAAGGAAUUUUGGCCUGAGUUGCAGAAUAAACAGUGUCCUUGAGAGCAUACAGUGGGAUUCCUGAAAAAGAAGGUGGCAGGCAAGAGGAAGGUGAAACUUUCUGUGGGAAGAAAUCAAGUGGCUCUGUCAAAAGACAAAAUUACAACCCAUUUAGUUAAAGAUCUUAAUAGGCUUUUAUCGGUGACUCUUGAAUCAGGCAACAACUCAAUCUGUAAAUGAGCUGAACAGAGAAGUUUGGCUUUAUAGACAAAAAGGGCUGGGGAAGCAGACAUAGAGAACAAAAAGUGGAUUAGUCAUUUUGAAGUUGCUUUCUUCCUAAAGGUUAAAGCAGAGGGGACUUCCUUAUCAUGCCGGGUAAAACUGGCCUGUUUGGGGAUUUGGCUCUCUCUCUCUCCCUGCCACCCCCAACCCCCUGAUUCCUUGGAAGUUCAGAUAAACACCUUGGUUUUGGUU
RNAcentral lists this long non-coding RNA (3356 nucleotides) under Homo sapiens (human). RNAcentral describes it as "HSALNT0168445". Lineage: Eukaryota; Metazoa; Chordata; Mammalia; Primates; Hominidae. The record is from RNAcentral.